This 440-nucleotide ribosomal RNA is filed under the name uncultured bacterium. Its description in RNAcentral is "partial 16S ribosomal RNA". It matches the Rfam family "Bacterial small subunit ribosomal RNA", at positions 338 to 795 of the family's 1533-position model. The record is from RNAcentral.
CCUACGGGUGGCUGCAGUAGGGAAUAUUGCUCAAUGGGGGAAACCCUGAAGCAGCAACGCCGCGUGGAGGAUGAAGGUUUUAGGAUUGUAAACUCCUUUUGUUAGAGAAGAUUAUGACGGUAUCUAACGAAUAAGCACCGGCUAACUACGUUCCAGCAGCCGCGGUAAUACGGAGGGUACAAGCGUUACUCGGAAUCAAUGGGCGUAAAGUGUGCGUAGGCGGGGUAAUAAGUCAGAUGUGAAAUCCUGUAGCUUAACUACAGAACUGCAGUUGAAACUGUUACUCUUGAGUGUGGGAGGGGUAAGUGGAAUUCUUGGUGUAGCGGUAAAAUCCGUAGAUAUCAAGAGGAAUACUCAUUGCGAAGGCGGCCUGCUGGAACAUUACUGACGCUGAGGCACGAAAGCGUGGGGAGCGAACAGGAUUAGAUACCCUUGUAGUC